AUACGUAGGGGGCAAGCGUUGUCCGGAAUUACUGGGCGUAAAGGGUGCGUAGGCGGUUGCCUAAGUCAGAUGUGAAAUCCCCGGGCUUAACUCGGGUGGUGCAUUUGAAACUGGGUGGCUAGAGUGCAGGAGAGGGAAGCGGAAUUCCUAGUGUAGCGGUGAAAUGCGUAGAUAUUAGGAGGAACACCAGUGGCGAAGGCGGCUUUCUGGACUGUAACUGACGCUGAGGCACGAAAGCGUGGGGAGCAAACAGGAUUAGAUACCCUGGUAGUCCACGCGGUAAACGAUGGAUACUAGGUGUAGGGGGCGUAGAGCCCUCUGUGCCGCAGCUAACGCAAUAAGUAUCCCGCCUGGGGAGUACGGCCGCAAGGUUGA
RNAcentral lists this ribosomal RNA (375 nucleotides) under uncultured bacterium. RNAcentral's name for it is "bacterial SSU rRNA". It matches the Rfam family "Bacterial small subunit ribosomal RNA", at positions 523 to 897 of the family's 1533-position model. The record is from RNAcentral.